AUUUAGCCCUGAUAGCAGCGGCAUCCUUUUAUCCCGAUUUUUUUUCGGGAUGAAAGAUAUAGCGGAUAGCAGGAGGAGUU
RNAcentral lists this small RNA (80 nucleotides) under Flavobacterium sp. FPG59. Its description in RNAcentral is "Flavo-1 RNA". It matches the Rfam family "Flavo-1 RNA". The record is from Rfam by way of RNAcentral. Lineage: Bacteria; Pseudomonadati; Bacteroidota; Flavobacteriia; Flavobacteriales; Flavobacteriaceae.